RNAcentral lists this long non-coding RNA (2061 nucleotides) under Callithrix jacchus (white-tufted-ear marmoset). Its description in RNAcentral is "lncRNA (ENSCJAG00000055703.2)". Lineage: Eukaryota; Metazoa; Chordata; Mammalia; Primates; Cebidae. The record is from RNAcentral.
GCUAGUUAUUAAUCUGGUUCUACUACUGUAAAAGUAUGGAAUAUGGUGAGGGUAAAAUGAAAUGGCUUGGGGCAGGGCAAUAGUAGAAUAAUGAAAGCACUGGAGAGUAGGAGAGAUAAAUGAAGGAAGGAACACUGUAACUUUCUCUUUGACUCUGUACUUCUUUUAUGUUGUCCACUCAUUUUUUUUUUUCCUUUCCUUCCUUGCAGGGAGAAGGUCACUCUGAUGUGAUGGAAAGGCAGAAAUCAAUGAUGGCUGGCUCCUCAGUGAUAUGAGUCAAUCCAUCAGACAGAAUGAUGGCAGUCACCCAGCCUUCACAGCCACCACCACCAUGCUGGCAAAUGUCACAUUUGGAAUUCAUUUGCAUAGCUGGGUAGCACUCCCUGUGGAGUUACAUUGAACAAUUUUGCAGCUGUGACAGCUUGAAAUAGAAAAGCUAAUGCAGCUAUCAACUUCCGCUGUGCCUUGUUUCCUUAAAAUCUAGCUGGGAAAUCUUGUUACAGAAAGGAGGAAGAUCACGUAAAAUGGAAGGGAAACUGGUGCAAAGCUUUCAGGAACCAAGCACGUCUGGGUGGCGUUUGGAAGAGGCAUACAGGGACAUAGAGGCAUGGUUUCCCACCGACUGAGAUGAAGCUUCUCUUCCUAACAUCCUUCCACAGAAAGCAGAUAGCCAAAAGAUAUUUUUGACUGAAUGGAUGGAGGAAGAUGAGGAGUGAAGACCCCAAUUUCUUUCCCCUCAUAACGAAGUCAAAAGGGGACUCCAUUAUGAAGGAGUGUUGGUGAGAGAAUGUGGAUCCUUACAGCAAAUUGGAACUGUAUGAGAGAUGGAAGAUUUAAUCCAAGCUGUGCCAAGGCUCACCACCCUAGACAGGUCUGUGAAGAUGACAGGCUGAGACUUGUUUUACAACCUACCCUUUUCCUCGUCCCCAGUGCCGCCACUCCAUCCUGAAUUUCACUACCACAAUCAUCUCCUAAGGGGUCCACUUUGCAACCCCAUUCACAAGAUGUCCAUAGACUUUUCAAAACACAUAUAUAUAAAUUGUCUCUGCUGUUCUUACAACAAAAUAAUGGCUUCCCAUUUUCUGUGUAAAAAUAAAUAAAUAAGACGCCCUAAGUGUUUUGUUCCAGUCUAGUGCUCUCGUAUCUGCUGUUGCUUCUUUGACCCCUUUUUGGUUCCUUACAAGCACCAGCCCUCUCUCUCUGUCCUGACCUAUGCAUGUGAAAUGAUACUAAAGACCUCUCACCAAAACCUUUCUUCCACUUUCUUGUGAUGAACUCCUAUCGAUCUUUCAGAACAUGGGCUAAACGUCUCAGCAAAGCCAUACCGGAAACCACAUUGGCCUUAUUAUGCUUUAUAAUGUACAUAUUAUGUAUUUUCCAUGAAGCACCUACUGUGACUGUGAUAAAAUAAUAGCUUAAAUAACUAUUCAGUUGUGCUUUUUUGACUAUCUGGUUCAUAAACCUUAGAGAGAGAUUAAGAAGAAAGACGGCUGCAGGGGUGCAGUACUCCUUAUUGUAUAAUCUUCCGCAUGAUUCAACACCACAUUCCAUUUAUUGUUCAAUAGCAUUUCAUUGUACAGAAAAUCCAAAAUUUGUUUCUCUAUUACCAAUUGGAAGUUUAGGCUCCUUCUAGAUUUUGGCUUUGAUGAGUACAGUUGCUUUGAAAAGUUCUUUGGGUGGUUACAUGUUUUCAUUUCUCUUGGGUAAAUAAAUGUUUCUUCUAAGAUGAGGAAAUUCCCUUCUCUUUCUACGUUCUCAGCAAUUUCAUUAUGAAUUGAUUUGAAUUUUGUCAACUGUUAUGCUUCCAUUUAUUGAAAUAAUCUUAAGUUUUGUUCUGUUUAGUUUCUUAAUAAGAUCAAUUAUAUUUUUUAAAGAGUUAAAUCAGCCCUGCAUUUCUGGGAAAAAAAAACCCAGGUGGUCGUGAUAGAUAUUGCCAUGUUACAUUUAGAAUAAUUUUCUAAUUUUUAUUAGAAGCUGUGUCAUCUGUAGUUCUUUUUUUAUUAUAAUGUCAUUUAUUUUGCUAUGGCUAUAGUGGUGGCCUGAUAGAUGAGUUAAAGCCUG